UUGUAGAGCUUUCACUCAUACUGAGCUUGAAGAUCUCAGGUCCCUGCUUGCGUCGUUAGCUGCUCAGUCACACAGCGACGGCCAAUUCAUCUCUCCCUCAGUUUUCAGAAGCUAUUGGAUUUGAUUAUGUUGUUGGAGCUCAAAAGUUGCAUAUAUUCAAGAAGCCGUGAAGACCAGGUUUUUUAAACUCCUAGAGGCAGAGGUUUGGGAGUUUAAGGAUUGUGUUCCAAGGUUGGUAUUCUGUGUGUAUAUUGGAGAGAAGAUUGAUUGAGGGCUUUGGUCUAUAAAUGGAAGUAUAAAGUUUAAUAUUUAAUGUAUGU
RNAcentral lists this long non-coding RNA (320 nucleotides) under Rosa chinensis. RNAcentral's name for it is "sRNA RchiOBHm_Chr4g0404871". Lineage: Eukaryota; Viridiplantae; Streptophyta; Magnoliopsida; Rosales; Rosaceae. The record is from RNAcentral.